CCUACGGGGGGCAGCAGUGAGGGAUAUUGGUCAAUGGGCGAAACCCUGAACCAGCAACGCCGCGUGAGGGAAGACGGUUUUCGGAUUGUAAACCUCUGUCCUCAGUGAAGAUAAUGACGGUAGCAGAGGAGGAAGCCCCGGCUAACUACGUGCCAGCAGCCGCGGUAAUACGUAGUGAGCAAGCGUUGUCCGGAUUUACUGGGUGUAAAGGGUGCGUAGGCGGCUUUGCAAGUCAGAAGUGAAAUCCAUGGGCUUAACCCAUGAACUGCUGUUGAAACUGGAGAGCUUGAGUGGAGUAGAGGUAGGCGGAAUUCCCGGUGUAGCGGUGAAAUGCGUAGAUAGCGGGAGGAACACCAGUGGCGAAGGCGGCCUGCUGGUCUCUAACUGACGCUGAGGCUCGAAAGCGUGGGUAGCAAACAGGAUUAGAUACCCCUGUAGUC
This 440-nucleotide ribosomal RNA is filed under the name uncultured bacterium. RNAcentral describes it as "partial 16S ribosomal RNA". It matches the Rfam family "Bacterial small subunit ribosomal RNA", at positions 338 to 795 of the family's 1533-position model. The record is from RNAcentral.